CCUCGCCUCGCACAGAGUCCCUGCAAAUCUCCAAAGCAGGGGUGAAGUUCUGGGUGUCCUUCGCUCUUCUGUCCUGAGGCUGUGGCUGGAUGUGAGGAGCUGUCAUCAGCCUUUGCUAGCAGGAGAAUCCAACAAAAAUGCAAGUCUCUGCACCCCUUUGUGUUAGACCCCUGGCCCUAACCGGAACCAAACAUCUUCCAGGAUUUCAGAUCAAAAAUGAGACACUCGGUUUUCGCACAGUGAUUCCUGGACUCUUUCUUGUUACAGUUGUUCAUUAAUCAGUGAUGACAAGGCUUUCCUGUGUUGCAGCUUUGGAAGGAGCAUGAAAGCUGGAGCCUGAGCCUGCGUCAUGUAAUCUGCAGCAAUUACCCCAAAUCCCUCUGGAGCAGAAAUAACCACGUUAAAGAGGAUGCAAAGACAGACACGUCCCAUUGUAGAUCAUGGCGAGGCACCUUGCACAUGAGGGGUCUCGAGCUCAAAGAACAAGUUUUCCAUUUCUGGUCAUAAGUGAUCCAGACAGCGGGAGGAACUCCAACAGUGACCUCAUGAAAGCGUCUUGUGCCAGUGAAACACUUGGCCAGGCUUUGGAGAGGAGAUUUUUCAUCUCCAGAACGUUCACGGGGUUUUGCUGAACAGCCACAUCCAGCGGGAUUGACAGUGAGACGGUGCAUCUGUUCUGAACAGGCCGGAUUGCUUUCUUAUAUUCAUUCUUCUAGUAAUUUUUGGGACGAGAAAGGAGACCACUUUCUGGUGGAAAUGGGUGAAUUCUGCUACCAGAACAUUUGCACUGCAAGAAAUCCCAAGCAGUAUUUUUCCAGCUCGCAUGUAAUAAUAAACUCCAUCCUCGAUUGCUGCUAUCUUGAUGACACAACCCCAAAAGUGCAUCACACCCUUCGCCUACCACAUUUGUGUGGCUAAAAUGAUGGCAAGCAGCUGAACGAUCAAGGCAAGCACCAGAAAGCCCCACCAACAAAAGGCCCUUGAGGAGUUGAGUAUCUGGAGUCCAGUUGUGACUAGAAAGCACAUGCCAGAAUAUCACAAGCGGAGUGUUUGCCUGGUGCAUUUGGCUCAGAGGGAGUCAGGAAGCCAAAGCAAAUUAAACGUCAGCUCCGCGUCCAGCAGCAGCGUGAAGUGCAGCUGGUGCCUGCGAGAAAAGUAAAAGCAUCUGCCUCCAAACCAGACACGAUUCCACCCUCCCUGUCCGUGUUUCAGGACCUCACCAGAGGAAAGGUGGUACGAGACAGGAAAGCCAUCUCCAAGGAGAAAUAAGAGAUAUUCAAAAGCAGAUUGCAGAAAACUGGUCAUAUCUUUUGCCGUGUCUUGUUGUGGUAAAGCCUGAGCCUCUGGCAGGAAAACCGGCCCCUGAACGAGCCGCAUGGCUGAGCUCAUUUCAAGAGAUAAGAACGUUUGUUUUCCAGCCGGGCUCAGCGAACGCUCGUUCCUAUGAAACAGCAAGUGCUGUGCGAGAGCAGGGAUGCUGGUCGUGCAGAUGCUUCGGUCAGGCUGGAGGAUACGGGAUGGAUGAGGUGGGACUCCAAAUGCACAAGCUGGUGGCCAACGUGGGACCAGCACGCUGCUGAAGGACCUUUCAGGAGCAAAGCAGAUAUUCUGGGCUUUCAGCAACAAGAGGCUUAUGUCUGGGAGGAAGUCUGCUCCCCUGGCUUCUAUUUUUGCUUCUGCUCAUCUGUUGAGGGUCUAGGGCUUGGUUUCCUUAGGUCUACACUGUGUUCUUGGGAAACAAUGAAAGAGGCUCGAGUGGACCUGGCAGCAUCUGAAAGCAGAGCAGCCAACCAGGCGGCAUCACUGUUUUCCUGACUCGUUUGUUUGGGAUAUAUUUUUUUGCCUUGCUGCUUAUCUCUCCCUGAGAUUCACGCAAACCAUUGAAAACCAGGUCCAGCCCUGCACGUCCUGUCUGCUUUAUACCUGCUGGAGGGCUGCCCGCCGAGUCUCAGGGGACAGAAAGACGUCAGUGUCUUCUGGUUGGACCCACCAGUCCUUCCCAGUGUGGUCUGCUUGACCUUUACGAUGCUGAGCCCACUCGUGCCAAUAGCGGAGCAAAUCGCUUUGUGCAGAGUUCUGUUUUACAAAGCAGUCCCAGAGACAGGAUGUCAAAACAAUCUCUAGCACCUAAGAGGGCUGGGAACGGCUUUUCAUCUCCCCCCAAAAUACCCAGUAAGAAAACUUAUGCCAGCAGAUCUAGCCAAAGCCCCGGGAAAAUAAAAAGGACAACUCUGUUUCUGCACCAUCCUCUGUCACAAAAAGUUAUUUCAAUGACAUUAAAGGGGGGCACAGCCCGUCUGCACUGGUGGGAAAUCCUCCACGGCCUGUCCUUGUGUCCUGCCCAGUCUCACGCCCUGGAGGUGCCCGGGAUGUGCUGAGCAGCUCGCUCCAGCGAGGCUUUUCAGAACAUCGAUCCCCAGCUCAGAUUGCUUUCAUAGUGACACCCACCAGAGCCAACCGCCUUCUCCUGCAGACAAGGGACUGGGAGCCAGCUCCCUUCACACUCUUGGCCACCUGCCCUUUCCAUUCUCGAGCAGGGCCAGACACCGUGUUAUCUAAAACCAUCUUCCUCAGGCGGGUUCUCACCCGUUUACACUCACUGGAGAGGGACCAGAUAGGUGCAAGGGCUGGAAAAUCGUGAUUAACCCCUUGCGUUGAUAAUUACAUCAACUGCCAGCCUGUGCAGACGCGUAGAACACUCAGAAACAAUAUUAUUGGGAUUGCAACACUUCACAAAGGCUUUAUCACCAUCAGCAGCCUCCUGCUUGGUGCCACGGAAAUAAAAAAGUGUUGACAAAAGAGUGAUUUUAGCAGAUUGGUUUAUUAAGCCUGAGGCUGAAGAGCAGGAACAGAACAGCGCUUUAGGUGAGCGGGAGGAAUUAACCUUCCCAUUCAGCGCCACGUCCCCGCUGCCACGGAGCUCCAGACGGAGCCAGCACCUUUGUGCAAUGCUGGCUGGGUGGCUGCACACAAGUCCUUCCAAUGCUCACCGGCUGGUGAGGCUCGACAGGCAACUCAAAGCUAAGAUGCUCCUGGAGCACGGCGUUAGGCGGCUCUUCAUUUGGUGGAGAUGCUGAGAGAGACCCUGGUCCUGGUUCCACAGUCACUCAUGUCUCUUUGCUGGGGAGGAACUGGCUUCUAAAGCUGCCUGGGAUUGAAUUACGCCUGGCGUUCCAGUGCUCCCACCCACAGCUCGCUCCGGUCCGGACACAUCGCAGGCUGUCCCGCUUGCCCACGUCCUCUGCCAGCAUUUCCAUGAACUCAUAUGUCCUGGCAGGGAGGAGAAAUGCAAAGCAAAGCCCUGACAGCAGCAACAGCCCUUGUAGGGCUGAGCCUCCAGCCUGGACAAUUCACGGCUCUUCUAAUGAAAAGCGGCUCUUCUGUUGGUUUGAUAAAAGUCCCUAUUUUGUCAGUGGGUCUGGAGAAUGGGGUACAGAUCCGUUUUGCUUGGGGAGCAUCUCCCACCCUGCCCAGCGCUGCUGGGGACAAUGGCAGCGCCUCUAACGAUCUUUUUGUCGACAGGCAGAGCAAUUAGUGUUCUGCAACACACCAUAGGCAGAGCAAGUGUUCUGCAACUUUUAAACCACAAGCCCUUUGGCAACGCGUGCUUGACAGAUGGCUUCAGAGUGGCAUUAGCGUUUUAGCAGAGCAAUGCAAUGCACUUGAAAACAUAUGUGUAGAGAUAUAUAUAUAUAUAUAUACACACAGUUUCUCUGUUUCCUUCUGCCAUUCAGAAAUUCCUGGGGCAGGGAGAAACUCUGGGCAUUUUUGCUGGCAGGGACUAGUUUGAUAUAGCAGAAGCUUGGGUUAAAUUGCUGCUUUCAUUCUCACCUUUGUCCCUUCCAUUUGCACGUUCUCCCAGUUCACACCCCAGUCCAGCCCCAGGGAAUAUUCCCAGGACAGUCUGGGACCCGUCCUGCAGGCAUUCCUGUGUGAGGAAGAUCAGCUGGUGGGUGAAGGAGCAUUGGCAAACAAUCUCUGAUUAUUAUUUUUUUUAAUUGCUUCCAUUCAUCCUAAGCAAAUUUUCCAGCAGAGCUGGAAACAAUCACCAGAGACUGGUUACCCCGGUGAACAAGAAGGGAGGUGAAGAAGACAAUGGAAAUUUCCCCAAAGACAUUCAAGUUACAAUUAAGCGGUUAGCAACAGAAAUAUAGAGAGCAAAAGGAAUUGUCCAGCAUGUAUGUCAUUGGAAUUAUAUUAUAUUACCAUGCAGAUCCCUGCCAAAUUAGCCUAGAGAGUUAUUCACAGCAAACUAAGCACAGGGAGUAUUAAACUGCCUGUGAUGAGAUUUAGAGCAAUAGCAAAUUUUGUAAGAGCACUUUGCAAGGGACUAGUAACUCUUAGGAAGAACCAGAGCCCCUUUGGCUGUCAGUGCUUGGAAUUCCCAUUGAAUUCAGUUCCCUUUAAUGCAUCUUGCAUUAAUGCAUCUUCCACCCCUGGCCGGUGGAAGAACCAUCCCAAGAAGAAACCCAGGGUCCCUUCUUCCUACACAGGCGGAAAUUAGCAUCCUUCCAAUAAAUGCUGUGUUGUCCUUGG
Long non-coding RNA from Columba livia (rock pigeon), 4536 nucleotides. RefSeq lists it as uncharacterized. The record is from RefSeq and is a predicted model, not a curated record. The transcript is spliced from 2 exons. Lineage: Eukaryota; Metazoa; Chordata; Aves; Columbiformes; Columbidae.